AAAAUUGGAUGAUCUAAUGAAUUAAUAAUAUUUUAAUGGCUUAAAUAUAAAUUUGGUACCUGAACUUGUCCAUUUCUCCUAGGUUGAUACUUAAGUUUUUUUGUUCCAGAUUGGUACCCGAACCUUUUUUCCAUAAACUAAAUCGGUACUUUUUUGUAACACCGUUAAUGUAACACCCCUCGUCCGUCCUGAUCGUCGAGACUGAGUUUAAGAAUGCUACAGUACAAAAUGGAACAAUUAUAGACAUUUACCUGAUAACUCGAAUAAAAAAUCAUUAAAUUCAAUCAUUCAAGUCAUCCGAUACAAUUUAAAACAUUUCCCAACCUUUGUACGAGCUUACGUAAGCUUUAAAGUUGACUCGGGAUCGAACAAUGACCAAUUUGCAAACUUUCAAAAGUUCAAGGUUGGUAUUGUGAUGUUGCCAAAAUAGUAUGUCACGUCAUGACAUUGGACCACUUGAUGUCGUGACAUCACAAUCUAUCAGUCGGCGUUUCGACGAGGAGAAGUUGUUGGGACGAGAAACCUGUUUUAGCGCAAAAUAAGCCUUUUAGUACCUGAUGCACAACAACCCUUCAACUAAGUCUUUUGGUACAAUUUGCAUAUGUUUUACCUGCAUAAAAACAUGCCAAACAAGUAACUAUUCAACCAACUAACCAAUAUGUCACAAUUGACACCAUUUCAUAUCAAAACUACUUAUACAUUUUCAAGUCUAUCAUCCAUACAAGUAGCCAUAAUAUUCCGUCAUUUCAUUUAUCCAAUUCAUAUUCAAAUAUGUAAUGAUAGAUCCUAAUCACAUAUAGUACAUUAUACUACUAGCUUAAGGACAUAUACAAUUUGACAUUUACAACCCAAGAUUAAUAUAAACUAACAUUCCAAACUAAUUAGGCAUUAUAAGUUAACAUGACAACUCCUAAGUACAUGCCACAUAUAUCUGAGUAUAACAUAAUCAAAAGACUACUGAACCAAUAGAUAAAUAGUGUAACUCCGAGGUGAUCAGAUCGAUGCACUCCAUAUUCAACAAACUACAAAAGGAAGAAGACAAUGGUAAGCAUAAUGAAUACUUAGUAAGUUCAUACAAAAUUCAACUUAACUUGCCUAAAAUUAUGUCAAUUUAAUCAAUAAAAAUACAAAGAUGCUUAUCAUGAUAUUUUUUUUGACAUCCUUAGGCACUCUUGUACAAGUUCACAAAACAACCUCAAGUUAGUACGUUGGAAUAAUAAAAUCAAGGUGCUCAAAUCUCAUACAUGUACCACCAAACCAUUUGCUCUAUACUAUUCUAACAUAUAUAUUUAUAAACAUAUCAACUAAAUUUAUAAUCGAUCUCACCAACUAUUUCCUUUCCGAUUUGUUACCAUUUUUGCUUGUAGAACUAUAAUAAACUAACUUUGUAAACAUAGAACCAUUUUGCUCACAUAAACUUUACAAUUCAAGUCUACUCACACACGCUGUAGGUCAGGAUUGUUGAUAUAAGUGUUAUCUGAUGCUGCUCUCACAAGUUGUAAAGAAUCUGCAACAUAUGCUGGAUUUCAACCAUUGAUAACUAAGUCCCUGACCAGCACCAAAACUAUAUCAUUUGGGUCUACUUGCAUAAGAUGUAGGUCGGAAUUAUUCAUAUAAGUGUUAUUUGGUACUGCUCACACAAGCUAUAGAGUAUCCACAACAUACAUUGGAUCUCAACCAUCGAUAACUAAGUCCCUGAUCGUAAUGGUUUGUCAUCCCUACCUUAGUCAUUUACUAAAUACGUCAGAGCCUUAUUCUAUACUCGUACCAUUUUACUAUAUGUAACAUCAUCAUAUAUACAAUUUCAUAUCAUUCAAUCAUAUGUAUAUAUUUCACAUUUGUUCGAUAACCCGUACUUAUUAAAAAUUGUCUUAUAUUUCAAACAUUGCAAUUUAGUCUAAGUCAAAAGUAACUAUAAUUAAUUCCAACUCAAUAUACAAACAAUAUUAUAUAUAUUAUGUAAAAAAGGGAAAUCAACAUAAUAAGUUCCAUAUGAACUUACCUGACUAAAAUAACAACGAACGAGAUGUCGAGGACUAAUCGUAAUUUUGUUUUUUCCUCAAAUAUCCUUUGACUAGUUUAAUUUUUGAUCUAUAUAAUCAUUCAUUUUAAUUUAUCAAUGUCAAACAUUUAAAUGAAAAUCCAUGAUAUGCAUGAACCUAUUUAAUUUCAUUUUUACAAAACUCCUAAAAUUUUACACUUUAUUCAAUUUAGUCCCUGAAAUCAAAAUUAUCAUAACUUACACAUUUGAGCUUCAUUUUACAAUUUGAUUUCAAUUACGACCUUAUACUACUCUCCACUCUCUAUUUUUAUCAAAAUCUCAUGGUAGUUUUGUAACUUAUUCAGUUUAGCCUUAUGUUAAAAAAUUAACACUUAAACUUUACAAACUAGUCAUUUUUUUCAUUUCUAAGCUUAAAAACUAAUAUUUUAACACCAAAACUUCAAGAAUUCAUUAAUGGAAACAUUUUGAAACUUUAAAAGUUUUGAAAAAUAAAACAUGGAUUAGCUAAAUUGAGCUAUCACGAUCUCAAAAACACAAAAUUUAUGAAAAAUGACUUCAAACGACUUACCAUGAGAGGAUGAGAAGCUUGGCCGAAUGAUGAAGCUUCCAAAAAUGGUUUAUCGGGUGUGUUUGUUUGAAAUUUCAGUGGAAGUAAAUUAAAGGUGGGUUUGGAUAGGCGGUACGUUUACCUGUGGUUAGUGUAAACAGCGGUGGCAGUGAUAUUAGAUAGUGUAGCGAUGCUGUAGUGUGAGACAAAAAGUAAACUAAACGCACUGAACUACACCUAAUCGCCCAUCCAAACCCAUCCUGAAUGGAUGAUGAUGCAAUUUUUGUUUUUAUUUUUAUUUUUAUUAUUAACAUAUAAUAAUAGUUUAAUUAAUAUUUUAACCCAUAAUUCUCUUAAUAAAAAGCAGUUAACCUUCCACCGCUUUUAAAAAUGCUCUAACUGCCAUUGAAACUUUAGUUUAAUUGCUAAAUAGGUUUUUUAAUAAAUAAAAAUCUAUAACAAUUAACUUUUACCACUUUUACAAUUUAAUUCUUGUAUCUUAAUUAACUAUUCGUUCAAUAAAAUUACUAGACCGAAAUUUAAUAUAGUAUUAUAAUAUACUCACAAAUAUUAAAUAAUAAUAUUUACAAACUCGAUCAUUAAAAAAUAGGAUUCCAAAAUCACCGUUUCUGGUACCACUAAAAAAAUGGGCUAUUACAAUUAAAUUCAAGAUAGGUGGCAGAAUAGAAUUGUGAUGUGGCAUUAAUGAUGACAUAAUUUAAAAAAUAUAUUAAAAAUCUAAAAAAAAUUAAAAACCAUAACUUUUAUCGACACUUGAAUACAUAUAUUGGAUUCCAACUUAAUUAGCAAACAAAGAUAUGUCAAAAUUCACCCUUCCAACUCUUCCAAACAACCACAACUCAAUAAAGUUAAAUUACUACAUAAAGUAACUAGGUGAACUACAACACCAUGAACACCAUAAGCCAAGUUUCCAAGUUCUUAUCAUGACGUAGAUCAUUCAUUUACUAACUUUUAGUACCUAUAUCUCAAAUAUAUACAAAUCUCAUAAAUAAAUAAAAAACUCAUAUAUUAAAAAACAACUAACAAUCUGAAAUGUAAUAAACUUCAUAAUCAAAAUCAUGGAUUUCAGUCAUAGUUAAUCAUAAACACGAAAUUACUGUUUACUCAUAUCAUGAAAAAUCCCCAUUUGAGGAUACAUACAGAUAUUUGGAAAAAAAAAAAAAAAACCUCACCAUUUAGGUGCCUCUCGACUUGAGUCAUAUCUUUAAAAAAUUUAGAUACGAAAAUUUCAUAAAAAAAAAUCUUAAAAUCUAUAGAGGAAGUAACCUUCGACAUUGAGGAGGACUGCAAUUUCGAGAGCUACCGCUACGAGAAAGAGAGGAAGAAGAGAAAGAUCUGGAGCAAGAAUGAGAGCUAGACGAGGAAGCAAAUCUAGAGUAGGACACGGAGUGAGAGCGAGAAUUGGACUUAGAGUUUGAACCGGAAUAAGAGUAGGAACAAGACCUAGACCGUAAACAAGAACAGGAAGAGGAACCGGAGUUGGAGACAAAACGAGAACGACGACCUCUCAGCUAGAUUCAUAUCUUUAAAAAAUUAAGAUAUGAAAAUUUCAUUAAAAAAUCUUAAAAUCUACAGAGGAAGUAACCUUUGAUGUUAAGGAUUACGAUUUCGAGAGUUACCGCUACUAGAAGGAGAGGAAGAGGAGAAAGAUCUGGAGCGAGAACGAGAGCUAGACGGGGAAGUAGAUCUGGAGCGGGACACAAAGCGAGAGCGAGAAUUGGAUUUGGAUUUGGAGUCUGAAUCGAAAUAAGAGCGAGAGCUAGACCUAGACUGUGAACAAGAACAGGAAAAGGAACCAGAGUUGGAGACAAAACGAGAACGACGAUCUCUUGUUGGCUUUACGAUUUGCAGAAUACAAAGAGAGGAAUAGUAGAGAUAAGAAACCAUUUUUUUUUAUAUUUUUAUCUUUUGAAAAUGUUUUUAUUGAUUUUUAAUAUUUUUUAGAUUAUGACAUCAUCGUGAUGUUUGAAGGGCG
This 4545-nucleotide long non-coding RNA is filed under the name Gossypium barbadense (sea-island cotton). RNAcentral's name for it is "long non-coding RNA (GBAR_LNC010412)". The record is from RNAcentral. Lineage: Eukaryota; Viridiplantae; Streptophyta; Magnoliopsida; Malvales; Malvaceae.